UACGAAGGGGGCUAGCGUUGCUCGGAAUCACUGGGCGUAAAGGGUGCGUAGGCGGGUCUUUAAGUCAGGGGUGAAAUCCUGGAGCUCAACUCCAGAACUGCCUUUGAUACUGAGGAUCUUGAGUUCGGGAGAGGUGAGUGGAACUGCGAGUGUAGAGGUGAAAUUCGUAGAUAUUGGGAAGAACACCGGUGGCGAAGGCGGCUCACUGGCUCAUUACUGACGCUCAGGCGCGAUAGCGUGGGGAUCAAACAGG
This 253-nucleotide ribosomal RNA is filed under the name uncultured bacterium. RNAcentral's name for it is "partial 16S ribosomal RNA". It matches the Rfam family "Bacterial small subunit ribosomal RNA", at positions 524 to 776 of the family's 1533-position model. The record is from RNAcentral.